ACCAGCACUUCAAGUGGUCGGGAUGAUUAUUGGGCUUAAAGUGUCCGUAGCCGGUUUAGUAAGUUCCUGGUGAAAUCAGGUAGCUUAACUAUCUGUAUGCUAGGAAUACUACUAUACUAGAGGGCGGGAGAGGUCUGAGGUACUAUAGGGGUAGGGGUGAAAUCUUAUAAUCCUUGUAGGACCACCAGUGGCGAAGGCGUCAGACUGGAACGUGCCUGACGGUGAGGGACGAAAGCCAGGGGAGCGAACCGGAUUAGAUACCCGGGUAGUCUUGGCCGUAAACGAUGCAUACUAGGUGAUGGCCCGGCCAUGAGCCGUGUCAGUGCCGUAGGGAAACCGUUAAGUGUGCCGCCUGGGAAGUACGGUCGCAAGGCUAAAACUUAAAGGAAUUGGCGGGGAGCACCACAAGGGGUGAGGCUUGCGGUUC
This 427-nucleotide ribosomal RNA is filed under the name uncultured archaeon. RNAcentral describes it as "bacterial SSU rRNA". It matches the Rfam family "Archaeal small subunit ribosomal RNA", at positions 475 to 903 of the family's 1478-position model. The record is from RNAcentral.